RNAcentral lists this ribosomal RNA (531 nucleotides) under uncultured bacterium. RNAcentral describes it as "bacterial SSU rRNA". It matches the Rfam family "Bacterial small subunit ribosomal RNA", at positions 28 to 526 of the family's 1533-position model. The record is from RNAcentral.
GACGAACGCUGGCGGCGUGCCUAAUACAUGCAAGUCGAGCGAGCUGAACCAGCAGAUUCACUUCGGUGAUGACGCUGGGAACGCGAGCGGCGGAUGGGUGAGUAACACGUGGGUAACCUGCCCUAAAGUCUGGGAUACCACUUGGAAACAGGUGCUAAUACCGGAUAACAACAAUAGCUGCAUGGCUAUUGCUUAAAAGGCGGCGAAAGCUGUCGCUAAAGGAUGGACCCGCGGUGCAUUAGCUAGUUGGUAAGGUAACGGCUUACCAAGGCGACGAUGCAUAGCCGAGUUGAGAGACUGAUCGGCCACAUUGGGACUGAGACACGGCCCAAACUCCUACGGGAGGCAGCAGUAGGGAAUCUUCCACAAUGGGCGAAAGCCUGAUGGAGCAACGCCGCGUGAGUGAAGAAGGUUUUCGGAUCGUAAAGCUCUGUUGUUGGUGAAGAAGGAUAGAGGUAGUAACUGGCCCCUAUUUGACGGUAAUCAACCAGAAAGUCACGGCUAACUACGUGCCAGCCGCCGCCGUAACAC